This 28-nucleotide non-coding RNA is filed under the name Mus musculus (house mouse). The record is from RNAcentral. Lineage: Eukaryota; Metazoa; Chordata; Mammalia; Rodentia; Muridae.
UGCACAUGCUGGUUUUUUGAAAGUGAGC